UCAACUUCUACCUGGAACAACAAUGGCACACACCUGAGGGAAAAGAACUUUCAAAGGAGGAAGUACUUGCUUGUCAGAAAGUAAUUGGACGUUGCCUAUCACAGAGGCUGAUGGACAUUGCCCGUGACCACCUCGCUCGGAAUGCCUGGCUACAGAUAUGAUGGCGAAUAAUAGGAAACACAAGUGUCGCUCUUGUAGCGUCCCAACUCCUGGCUGCUGAAUCUUCCAUGGACUAUCAAGCUGGAGACGAGCUACAGCACAACAGGGGCCUACCGCACCCGCCUUCUGCUGCUCUACCACCACCAGGAUCGUGGCAUGGAACAGCAUGACACUUCUAUGACGUUGUCAGGCAAAGAUAGAGGGAACUAAAAUAAAGUGACGAUGAGCAUA
This 390-nucleotide long non-coding RNA is filed under the name Ixodes scapularis (black-legged tick). RNAcentral's name for it is "uncharacterized LOC120837886". The record is from RNAcentral. Lineage: Eukaryota; Metazoa; Arthropoda; Arachnida; Ixodida; Ixodidae.